CUAUACUCCCUAGACCACACCCUGUCUCAUCUGAUCUUGGAAGCUAAACUGUGUGGGGCCUGAAUUGAAGCUUCGCAGGAAAGA
Cricetulus griseus (Chinese hamster) is the source of this 84-nucleotide ribosomal RNA. Lineage: Eukaryota; Metazoa; Chordata; Mammalia; Rodentia; Cricetidae. The record is from Ensembl.